This 744-nucleotide non-coding RNA is filed under the name Bromius obscurus. Lineage: Eukaryota; Metazoa; Arthropoda; Insecta; Coleoptera; Chrysomelidae. The record is from RNAcentral.
GAAAAGUUUUAUUUUAGUUUGGGAAAUUUUAUUUAUCUAAAAAUUAUAUGUAUUUUUUGAUUUUAAAUAGUUAUUUAGCAGUAGUUAAUUUUAUAAAUUUUAUAAUUAAGGAUUUUGUUAUAGAUUUUAGUUUCAACAAAUUUUGUGCCAGCAGUUGCGGUUAUACAAUUUGAUGCAUUAAAAUUUUAUUAAUUUAUAUUAAAUUGUAAUUAUUUGAUUUUUAUUUUUUAAUUUUAGGUGAAAUUUUAUUAUUUUAAUAUAAAUUUAUUGAUUAUGAGUCUAUGAAAUCUUUAUUUUAAACAAGGAUUAGAUACCCUUUUAUUUUAGAUGUAAAUUUUAUAUAUUGAUUAUUAUUAGUUAUGUUCUAUAAAUUUAAUAAUUUUGGCGGUAUUUUAGACCAGUUAGAGGAAUCUGUCCUGUAAUUGAUAUUCCACGAUAAAAUUUACUUUAUUAAUGUUUGUAUAUCGUCGUUGUUAAAAAUUUUUAGAAUAUUAAUUUUUAAUUUUUAUAAUUUUAAAUUAAUUCAGAUCAAGGUGCAGUUUUAUAAAGUAGAGAUGGAUUACAUUAAAGAUAUUUUAAGAUUUUUGUAUAAAAAUAUAAUUUGAAUUUGGAUUUAAAAGUAAUUUUAUAUAUUUUUAUAAAAUGAUUAUGGCUCUAGAAUAUGCACAUAUCGCCCGUCGCUUUCAUUUUAAUUUGAAAUAAGUCGUAACAUAGUAGAUUUACUGGAAGGUGAAUCUAGAAAUA